AGUUGUGACUCUUGCAAAUCUUCUCAACCCUAAAACUAAGCCCUUCUUUUCUUUUGUUAACAUUUAUUCAGCAAUGGUCUGGUAACAUCAAUGUAUACCAAAAGGUAAAUUGAGGAAAAUGGUUCAAUUCAAUGAAAGUAAAGUCUGAUCAUGCAGUAAACACGUCCAAAAACCCAAAGAAUACAUACUAGUUUUUAAGACAUUAUGAACAGAAAAUUGAAGUUGCUUCCCAAUAUUUGGCCUGUAUUGGCCUUGCUUCCAAACUUUUGGCCUGUAGUGUAUAUGAGAAAAACAGUGUGGUUUUUGCCUUAAACUGCAUGGGAAUAGCAUAAAAUGGGCAUGUCUGUAAAGGGGAGACGUGUGGAUUACCCAUAGAACCCAUUUUCAUUCAGAUUGAAGGUCAAAGGUCAAGGUACUUUCAUGUCAGUUUUUGUGAAGUGUUGUUUUGUUGAGCCUGUUACAGUUUGUGAAACACAGAAAAACUCCUACCCCUCUAAAAAAUGUUGUAGAAUGGUUAAAGGGUUAGGUUAAAAGGCUUAAGACUUUAUUAUCCCAUACUUUCUAAACUGACAUUUUUUUAAAUAACAGAAAAUGAUGACCACGACCCAUCCAGUCAGCAGGGGGAUGCCUUCAGGAACUAUUGUGUUCCUGUGCAAGAAGUUCUGCCUGAUCCAAGCAGGAGUCAACCCACUCAAAGCACCAGUGGGAUUUAUCCAAACUUGAGCCAGUUUGAGAGGGCAGAAAGUCACAGAACUAAACAGAGAUUUCAUAGAGAGCUCUUCAGCAGAUUACGGCAAGCAAGUCUCAGUCGGCAUUAUUACGUCAACCAAGGUGAACUCCACAAGCAACAAGCCACGUCAGCUCAAGCUACAGAGGAUCAUCGCAGAGCACGUUUGGGAAAGAAGAAAGCCAAAGAAAAUGCUGAAUACAAAAACCCCAUUUACAACAGGAGCACUGACCAGCUCAACCACCUGUAGAGUGUGAAGGAGUUUAUUGGCAUAUUUCUUUCAGUACAGUUCAUCUUUUCUAAUGAUAAUUUUUUUUACAAAUAACAUUUGAAACAUGUCUUAUUUGUUUGUUUUAUAGUUGUACUGUAGUUCCUGGACGUUUAUUAUAGGACAAAAGGUGCUUGGUAAAGAUAAUGAUAUACAAAAAAGAUCAACAUAUCAGGAAGUAAUGUGUUUUUGUUGAAUGGGAUAAAUCUGUGCAUGCAAGAUGUAUUUAAGUGCAUGUGAAAAUAAAUUGCUUUCAUACUCUGUUUAACUUGCAGAUAAAAUAUAAGCCUUUUUGAGUGUGUGUUUCUUUCUUUUGAGUGUGUUUUUUUUAACCAAACUACACUACCUACAGACAGUGGAGAGUCUCAUAUUCACCCACAUGCCUUUUAACUGUGAGAUGACAAAGUAAGAAAGGCCCCAGAAUUUAGCUGAUUUUUCUGAUGGCACUAUCCUUGAAAC
Molecule: long non-coding RNA, 1454 nt
Organism: Centropristis striata (black sea bass)
Lineage: Eukaryota; Metazoa; Chordata; Actinopteri; Perciformes; Serranidae
Exons: 5
Source: RefSeq, a predicted model, not a curated record